RNAcentral lists this non-coding RNA (21 nucleotides) under Caenorhabditis elegans. Lineage: Eukaryota; Metazoa; Nematoda; Chromadorea; Rhabditida; Rhabditidae. The record is from RNAcentral.
UUUUUUCAUAUUCAGGUCGUG